Molecule: long non-coding RNA, 1048 nt
Filed under: Homo sapiens (human)
Lineage: Eukaryota; Metazoa; Chordata; Mammalia; Primates; Hominidae
Description: HSALNT0140609
Source: RNAcentral
AUGGCUCAUGUCCUGGAAAUACCCAGCCUGGCUCCAUUGGGCUGUAAUUAAGGAUGCAGACACUCAGGGCGUGUGUCUUGCACAGCCAGCCAGCCUGGGAAAAUGAAGCCAACUGGGAGAGAGAUUUGAAGGACUCUGGUUCUAGGCAUGCGCACUUCUCCAGGGCAAAGAAGGCUUUAUUUAAACACCCCUAUCUGGUGACUUAGUCCAUUUUCUUUUCAUCUGAUGAUAACAUCUGGCAGCACCCUCAGUUCCCAAGCUCUACAGUCUCAUGUACCUUAUGACGACAAGAUGGUGGGUGGCAACUCCAGGCUUUUAGCCCUUCAUUUUGGUGACCCCGAUGCAAAGAGAGCACUUUUGUCCCCCAGCAUUAUGCCAGAUUAAGUUUGACUCUGUUUUGCCAAGCUUGUGUCACAUGUUUGUUCCUGAGCCAAUCAUAGUGUUCAGGUGGUUUUGUGGCUCUGAUUGGUCAGCCCUUAGGUGUGAGUGAGUCAACCUUACCCCUGUCAAAUGUAUGGAGGAAAUUCCAAGGAAAAUCAACCUGUUGAUACCAGAAGAGGGAGAAAUGGCUGAUAGGCAGGCAAAAAUCUACUGUACUGGUGGUUGUUAGGAACAGAGUAUGGGGCCAGAUAUAGCUCGAUCAAUCAAUGACUGUUUUCUCACCUGUAAAGUGGAAAUAAUAAUAAUGCCUGUUUGAGUUGGAAUGGAUAAAUAAAUGCCACACCUUUUUCUUAACCAAAUUUAGAAACAAUUGAGAAAUUGUCUCAAAAAUCAGUAGGAUGGCAAAUAAAAUGUCAGCUUUAUUACUGAGAAAAGUUCAUAUUGAAUAACAUUCAGGGGCUGACCCUGUGUCAUGGUCUCUGGUAGUGUUAAACAGCCCACAGGACCCUGUUCCCUGACCUCCUGCCCCUCUUGCUAUGUAGAUUGGCUGCUGUAAAACAUAUGGCAUAGACAUCCAGUGACUUUCUUUGGAGAUAGGCAAAUCUCAAAGAGAAGGAUAGGAGUGAGCCAGUCCGGGCAUGCAUGGUUCUUUUGUCUGAACUCCCAA